This 736-nucleotide ribosomal RNA is filed under the name Staphylococcus pseudintermedius. RNAcentral describes it as "bacterial SSU rRNA". It matches the Rfam family "Bacterial small subunit ribosomal RNA", at positions 230 to 957 of the family's 1533-position model. Lineage: Bacteria; Bacillati; Bacillota; Bacilli; Caryophanales; Staphylococcaceae. The record is from RNAcentral.
CCCGCGCCGUAUUAGCUAGUUGGUGGGGUAACGGCCUACCAAGGCGACGAUACGUAGCCGACCUGAGAGGGUGAUCGGCCACACUGGAACUGAGACACGGUCCAGACUCCUACGGGAGGCAGCAGUAGGGAAUCUUCCGCAAUGGGCGAAAGCCUGACGGAGCAACGCCGCGUGAGUGAUGAAGGUCUUCGGAUCGUAAAGCUCUGUUGUUAGGGAAGAACAAAUGUGUAAGUAACUGUGCACAUCUUGACGGUACCUAACCAGAAAGCCACGGCUAACUACGUGCCAGCAGCCGCGGUAAUACGUAGGUGGCAAGCGUUAUCCGGAAUUAUUGGGCGUAAAGCGCGCGUAGGCGGUUUUUUAAGUCUGAUGUGAAAGCCCACGGCUCAACCGUGGAGGGUCAUUGGAAACUGGAAAACUUGAGUGCAGAAGAGGAAAGUGGAAUUCCAUGUGUAGCGGUGAAAUGCGCAGAGAUAUGGAGGAACACCAGUGGCGAAGGCGGCUUUCUGGUCUGCAACUGACGCUGAUGUGCGAAAGCGUGGGGAUCAAACAGGAUUAGAUACCCUGGUAGUCCACGCCGUAAACGAUGAGUGCUAAGUGUUAGGGGGUUUCCGCCCCUUAGUGCUGCAGCUAACGCAUUAAGCACUCCGCCUGGGGAGUACGGUCGCAAGACUGAAACUCAAAGGAAUUGACGGGGACCCGCACAAGCGGUGGAGCAUGUGGUUUAAUUCGAAGC